CAGCAGUGGGGAAUAUUGGGCAAUGGGGGAAACCCUGACCCAGCAACGCCGCGUGAAGGAAGAAGGCCCUCGGGUUGUAAACUUCUUUUAGUAGGGACGAAGGACGUGACGGUACCUGCAGAAAAAGCAACGGCUAACUACGUGCCAGCAGCCGCGGUAAUACGUAGGUUGCAAGCGUUGUCCGGAUUUACUGGGUGUAAAGGGCGUGUAGGCGGAGAUGCAAGUCAGGAGUGAAAUCCCGGGGCUCAACCCCGGAACUGCUUUUGAAACUGUAUCCCUUGAGUGUCGGAGAGGCAAGCGGAAUUCCUAGUGUAGCGGUGAAAUGCGUAGAUAUUAGGAGGAACACCAGUGGCGAAGGCGGCUUGCUGGACGAUAACUGACGCUGAGGCGCGAAAGCGUGGGGAGCAAACAGGAUUAGA
Molecule: ribosomal RNA, 419 nt
Filed under: uncultured Oscillospiraceae bacterium
Lineage: Bacteria; Bacillati; Bacillota; Clostridia; Eubacteriales; Oscillospiraceae
Description: bacterial SSU rRNA
Rfam family: Bacterial small subunit ribosomal RNA
Source: RNAcentral